RNAcentral lists this transfer RNA (63 nucleotides) under Euspilotus scissus. RNAcentral's name for it is "tRNA-Trp". Lineage: Eukaryota; Metazoa; Arthropoda; Insecta; Coleoptera; Histeridae. The record is from RNAcentral.
AAGGACUUAAGUUAAUUAAACUCGCAACCUUCAAAGUUGUAAAUGAAAUUUUUUCAGGCCUUA